AUUGAACGCUGGCGGCAUGCCUUACACAUGCAAGUCGAACGGCAGCACGGGAGCUUGCUCCUGGUGGCGAGUGGCGAACGGGUGAGUAAUACAUCGGAACGUACCCAGGAGUGGGGGAUAACGUAGCGAAAGUUACGCUAAUACCGCAUAUUCUGUGAGCAGGAAAGCGGGGGAUCGCAAGACCUCGCGCUCUUGGAGCGGCCGAUGUCGGAUUAGCUAGUUGGUGAGGUAAAAGCUCACCAGGGCGACGAUCCGUAGCAGGUCUGAGAGGAUGAGCUGCCACACUGGGACCGAGACACGGCCCAGACUCCUACGGGAGGCAGCAGUGGGGAAUUUUGGACAAGGGGGGCAACCCUGAUCCAGCCAUGCCGCGUGAGUGAAGAAGGCCUUCGGGUUGUAAAGCUCUUUCGGCGGGGAAGAAAUGGCAACGGCUACUAUCCGUUGUUGAUGACGGUACCCGCAUAAGAAGCACCGGCUAACUACGUGCCAGCCGCCGCCGUAA
This 502-nucleotide ribosomal RNA is filed under the name uncultured bacterium. RNAcentral's name for it is "partial 16S ribosomal RNA". It matches the Rfam family "Bacterial small subunit ribosomal RNA", at positions 29 to 523 of the family's 1533-position model. The record is from RNAcentral.